RNAcentral lists this ribosomal RNA (582 nucleotides) under Tarsastrocles verrilli. RNAcentral's name for it is "partial 16S ribosomal RNA". It matches the Rfam family "Bacterial large subunit ribosomal RNA", at positions 1816 to 2597 of the family's 2925-position model. The record is from RNAcentral. Lineage: Eukaryota; Metazoa; Echinodermata; Asteroidea; Forcipulatida; Asteriidae.
CGCUCUUUGUAAAAUUAUUUAUAUAUAAGGAGUUCUGCCUGCCCGGUGACGUUGUUAAACGGCCGCGGUAUUUUGACCGUGCGAAGGUAGCAUAAUCAUUUGCCCUUUAAAUGGGGGCUGGUAUGAAUGGCAAGACGGGGGUUAAGCUGUCUCUUUCUUAUAUCUUGAAUUUUAUAUUUUUGUGAAGAAGCGGAAAUAAAUUCGUAGGACGAGAAGACCCUAUCGAGCUUUAAUAAAAAUAUCAGUAAAAUUUAGUAAAUUUAAUAAUCUAAUAAAGUUAGUAUUACAAUUUUGUAAGUUAUUUGUUAAAAGUUAAGGUUUAGUGUGAUAUUGUAUUUUUGAUUGGGGUAAUCGUGGAGAAAAGAAAAUCUCCAUUAAGAUAGUAAAAAAAUUAUAAUUUUAUGAAAAAAAUAGAUGACCCGCUGAAUGAGCGAGCAAAGGAAUAAGUUACCGUAGGGAUAACAGCGUAAUUUUUUUGGAGAGUUCAUAUUGAUAAAAAAGUUUGCGACCUCGAUGUUGGAUCGGGAUUUCCUGGAGAUGCAGUAGUUUCCAAAGGUUGGUCUGUUCGACCAUUAAAAUCCU